CCGGCACGGGUGAGUAACACGUAUCCAACUUGCCGUCUACUCUUGGACAGCCUUCUGAAAGGAAGAUUAAUACAAGAUGGCAUCAUGAGUUCACAUGUUCACAUGAUUAAAGGUAUUCCGGUAGACGAUGGGGAUGCGUUCCAUUAGAUAGUAGGCGGGGUAACGGCCCACCUAGUCUUCGAUGGAUGGGGGUUCUGAGAGGAAGGUCCCCCACAUUGGAACUGAGACACGGUCCAA
This 237-nucleotide ribosomal RNA is filed under the name uncultured bacterium. Its description in RNAcentral is "partial 16S ribosomal RNA". It matches the Rfam family "Bacterial small subunit ribosomal RNA", at positions 100 to 334 of the family's 1533-position model. The record is from RNAcentral.